ACCGGGGGCAUGUGCACGCUCUGUUUACAUAUCCACCCACACCUGUGCACCCUCUGUAGUUCUAUGGCCUGGGUGACUCUCUGUCCCCUUGCUGUGGUUCUACGUGUUUACACACACACUGCUAUAAAGUCUCAUGGAAUGUUUGUCGCGUUUAACGCAAUACAAUACAACUUUCAGCAACGGAUCUCUUGGCUCUCGCAUCGAUGAAGAACGCAGCGAAAUGCGAUAAGUAAUGUGAAUUGCAGAAUUCAGUGAAUCAUCGAAUCUUUGAACGCACCUUGCGCCCUUUGGCUAUUCCGAAGGGUAUGCCUGUUUGAGUAUCAUGAACACCUCAACUCCUCAUGGUUUGCCAUGAUGAGCUUGGACAUUGGGGGUCUUGCUGGCCCUGUGGUUGGCUCCCCUCAAAUGGAUCAGCUUGCCAGUGUUUGGUGGCAUCACAGGUGUGAUAAAUAUCUACGCUUGUGGUUCCGCCACGUAACCUUCAGUGAUGAAGGUGCGCUGGAGCUCACAAUUGUCCCUCCUCAGCGAGGACAGCUUUCUGAACGUU
RNAcentral lists this ribosomal RNA (547 nucleotides) under Tomentella sp. YM919. RNAcentral describes it as "eukaryotic LSU rRNA". The stretch from base 169 to 323 matches the Rfam family "5.8S ribosomal RNA". The record is from RNAcentral. Lineage: Eukaryota; Fungi; Basidiomycota; Agaricomycetes; Thelephorales; Thelephoraceae.